UUUUUGUCCCAGUUGCUCCAGGUUGGCAGAGGAUAGCGGGUGCUCUGAGAGGACUGAAUGCCAUGCAGCCUGCUGCGAGCCACUCCUGAGGGGAAUUUAAGCUUAACCGGAAGAGUCAGCAGAGCAAACACUCCAUCCCAUCCCAUCAUUGGCUUCUGUGCUGGAUUAAACAAGGCUGGAAUUCAGACCUCUCAUAGCAGGAUAGCGUCAGCCUUGUACUUUAUGGGCCUUAUCUGGAAUUGAAUGAAAGAGAAACUGAUAGGUGAGGGAGCAGCUCUUGAGCUGUUUUAUUUAUUUAUUACUCUCCAUCUCCUUCUUGCAGUUUCCCUGUUCUGCAGCCCAUGAGAUUCAAGUGCCAUGAGAUUUUUACCUCCCAGUGACCACUAGUAUUUUACAGAAUGAAGGAACUGGGGAAGAGUCAGUAAAUUGUUUUGUGUCACCAAGAGCUCUGUGACACAAAACACAGCUCCCAUCCCCAGCUACAGCCACUGAACCAGCUCUCCUGCCACAGGGGUGAUAGCAGAAUGCAAUCAUUCCAGCUGAGGUUCAGAAAGCAAAAAGAUAUUUAAAGUAAUAAUGAUGGUUUCAGCCUCUUACUCUUAAGUAGUAUGUGAAAUACUGGACCUGGAGAUUCUGCAGAAACUGUGAGAAAGGAGACAUCCCCAUUUCCGUCCCCUUGGCUGGGACAGUGGGUGGGAAAGCACAGCCGAAAUAGAUCCCUGAGGGAGCAGGGAAGGGGAGAUGGGAAGAGCAAGAACCUGAAGUGAGGAAGUGGCUGCAUGAAGUGGGUUAUGAGACACAUGAUAGGAGUAGCAAGAGUUAAAUCUCACAAAAAAAUAAUGUGCUAAAAACAAACCCCCAAGCCCCUAACAGAAACCAGUAGGAGGUAAAAAAAGAUGUAAAAAAGAGGUAAAAAACAAGUGAAAGGUUCCAAGUGAGAAAAAAGGUGGGAGUUUUGCCUGAGAACAUAACCUACUAUCUUGUCUCCUAAUCCUUUUAAAGGACAGAGAAGAUAAAUGCCCAAAUCAACAGAACAGUGUAAAAGUUGGACACAAGAGUGCUACAGGGAGUGUGAGCCCUGCCCAGCCAAGAAAGGACCCAAUGUGCCUCCCAUCUGCGGCAUCCUGUGUGUGGAGUGAAGGGAGACAAGGCAAGGACAGUGCUUGCAAAUUACAACUGGUAGGAACCAUACACUUCAAUAAAUUUGGUAUGAAACUGUUCUUGAAUGCCAGCUACAGGGACUGGAUAACCUGAGAGAUCC
Long non-coding RNA from Pezoporus occidentalis (night parrot), 1261 nucleotides. RefSeq lists it as uncharacterized. NCBI's taxonomy places the organism in Eukaryota, Metazoa, Chordata, Aves, Psittaciformes, Psittacidae. The transcript has 3 exons. The record is from RefSeq and is a predicted model, not a curated record.